ACUCAAAGGAAUAGACGGGGACCCGCACAAGCGGUGGAGCGCGUGGUUUAAUUCGACAAUAAACGAAGAACCUUACCAAGGCUUGACAUGUAAGGAAGUCGCUAGAAACAGUGAUGUGCCCGCAAGGGAACCUUAACACAGAUGCUGCAUGGCUGUCGUCAGUUCGUGUCGUGAGAUGUUUAGUUAAGUCUAUAAACGAGCGCAACCCUCAUCCAAUGUUGUAUAUCUUUGGAGACUGCCUUGUUUUAACAAGGAGGAAGGAGAGGAUGACGUCUAGUCCGCAUGGCUCUUACGCCUUGGGCCACACACACGCUACAAUGGUCGGUACAGAGGGUCGCGAACCCGCGAGGGGGAGCUAAUCCCACAAAGCCGAUCUCAGUUCGGAUUGCAGGCUGAAAUUCGCCUGCAUGAAGUUGGAAUCGCUAGUAAAUGCGUGUCAGCAUGGCGCAUUGAAUACGUUCUCGGGUCUUGUACACACCGCCCGU
This 485-nucleotide ribosomal RNA is filed under the name uncultured bacterium. Its description in RNAcentral is "partial 16S ribosomal RNA". It matches the Rfam family "Bacterial small subunit ribosomal RNA", at positions 899 to 1397 of the family's 1533-position model. The record is from RNAcentral.